This 1207-nucleotide long non-coding RNA is filed under the name Apis mellifera (honey bee). Its description in RNAcentral is "uncharacterized LOC102656729, transcript variant X1". Lineage: Eukaryota; Metazoa; Arthropoda; Insecta; Hymenoptera; Apidae. The record is from RNAcentral.
ACGCUUCAAUAUUAUUUUUCAUCUGCCCCAUUUCCAUUAUUAUAAUCCUUUCGUAAGAAUAAAACAUUUUUGUUUCAGUUGUGUUUAACGGUGAUCGAAAAGAAUUGGAAAUCGAAGAGCCUAAAUAAGAAUGUGACUGAUGGCGUUAUUCGUCUAAAGCUGGAUUAAUGUAGGCUACGAUAGAUGGUUAAUCUACACCCAUUUACAAGUUAAUCUAACCACAUUGUCAAUAGAGAGAUUGACCGUUCUUUCAGUCCCGAGCUUCUUUUCGUGCACGUAUAUUUAAGGUGGGAUACGAAAAGGGCACGAGGCCAAAGAAAAGGACAUCAAGAAGAAUGGCUUGGAAUGGCUCAUCCUUUUCUUUCUCAUUCUCCGUGUUUUAAGUCGUUCCAGAUGGUUGAGGUCGAGAUUCGUUCGUGGCAACCACCUACAGGGUAUGGACCUCCUCCUGAGCCGAAACAAAUGUUCUUCGCGGCAUUUCUUACCGAAAAGCAAAUUCGAAUGUUUAAAUUCGUACGUAUUCUAUAACAAGGAAGAAACGUGGGUGAUGAUUGUUGAUAAGUAUAUAGAGAUGCUAUUGUAUUCGAUUAUAACGCAAAGCUCGAAUUGGAAAAAUCAAAAUCGUAAAAAAUGUCAAAAAUGAAUUAUGAACUCGAUAUGCGACAUGACACGAUUAUGAAUUUUAUGUAUACAAAUAUUUCUUUUGCAUCGUUAUGAUGAAAAGAUAUUUGAUAAAUAAAGAAUCGCAUUCUUCUAAAACGAAAAGUGGUGCAAGUUCGUCCCUUAAGUGGUAACAUUUAACUCAAGAGCGAGAACACUCGAAGGAUUUCUAAGUGGUAUGAACGAAAUCGAAUAUUUAGACUCGUCAUGACAUGUAUACUCGUAUGUUUCCUAUUUUAUUACCAGCUACAUUAAUUGUGACGGCUUUCAAGACGUUUCGAUUAUUUUUUCACUACGACUUUUCUGGUAAUCUUACUUACGGAAUCAUCUUGUUCCUUUUUAAACGAAACUCUUAACACAUUUUCUUCGAAACUUGUAUCUUUAAAUGAAUAUUUUUCAUUCUCGGUUAUAAUCCACAAUUGCAACUUUUUCAGAAAAUUAAAAAAAAUAUUGAUAACGAUUGCAUUAUAUUAUAGAUAAAAGACGAUGGAAAUCAUUUCAAUCAUAUAAAUAAAGAUUCAUCUCUUUUCUCUUAGUAAAUCAAGUU